RNAcentral lists this unclassified non-coding RNA (207 nucleotides) under Hevea brasiliensis (rubber tree). The record is from RNAcentral. Lineage: Eukaryota; Viridiplantae; Streptophyta; Magnoliopsida; Malpighiales; Euphorbiaceae.
UCAACGGCUAGGGAAGCCCCAGUAUCGGGCACAUGUGAUGAGAUUCGAGAGCACCAUCAAAGGCCGCAUCAUAUGGCCCAUGAUCAUCAUCAACAACAGCCGCAACACCACCAUGUACACCAUCAGAUUGCUACCACAGCCUUCCAAAUCAGCAGGCCUUCACAUCCAAUCUCCGCUAUCAUCUCUCCGCCACCCCUACAUCACGCA